GAUGAACGCUGGCGGCGUGCCUAAUACAUGCAAGUCGAGCGAAUGGAUUAAGAGCUUGCUCUUAUGAAGUUAGCGGCGGACGGGUGAGUAGCACGUGGGUAACCUGCCCAUAAGACUGGGAUAACUCCGGGAAACCGGGGCUAAUACCGGAUAAUAUUUUGAACUGCAUGGUUCAAAAUUGAAAGGCGGCUUCGGCUGUCACUUAUGGAUGGACCCGCGUCGCAUUAGCUAGUUGGUGAGGUAACGGCUCACCAAGGCAACGAUGCGUAGCCGGCCUGAUAGUGUGAUCGGUGACACUGGGACUGAGACACGGGCCAGGUUCCGACGGGAGGCAGAAGUAGGGAAUAGUCCGAAAUGGACGAAAGUCUGGCGGAGCAACGACGCGUGAGUGAUGAAGGCUUUCGGGUCGUAAAACUCUGUUGUUAGGGAAGAACAAGUGCUAGUUGAAUAAGCUGGCACCUUGACGGUACCUAACCAGAAAGCCACGGCUAACUACGUGCCAGCCGCCGCAGUAA
RNAcentral lists this ribosomal RNA (515 nucleotides) under uncultured bacterium. RNAcentral describes it as "partial 16S ribosomal RNA". It matches the Rfam family "Bacterial small subunit ribosomal RNA", at positions 28 to 523 of the family's 1533-position model. The record is from RNAcentral.